RNAcentral lists this ribosomal RNA (144 nucleotides) under Paenibacillus taichungensis. RNAcentral describes it as "partial 16S ribosomal RNA". It matches the Rfam family "Bacterial small subunit ribosomal RNA", at positions 1 to 136 of the family's 1533-position model. Lineage: Bacteria; Bacillati; Bacillota; Bacilli; Caryophanales; Paenibacillaceae. The record is from RNAcentral.
UUUAUUGGAGAGUUUGAUCCUGGCUCAGGACGAACGCUGGCGGCAUGCCUAAUACAUGCAAGUCGAGCGGACUUGAUGAGAAGCUUGCUUCUCUGAUGGUUAGCGGCGGACGGGUGAGUAACACGUAGGCAACCUGCCCUCAAG